AACGAACGCUGGCGGCAUGCCUAACACAUGCAAGUCGAACGAGACCUUCGGGUCUAGUGGCGCACGGGUGCGUAACGCGUGGGAACCUGCCUUUAGGUUCGGAAUAACUCAGAGAAAUUUGAGCUAAUACCGGAUGAUGUCUUCGGACCAAAGAUUUAUCGCCUUUAGAUGGGCCCGCGUUGGAUUAGCUAGUUGGUGGGGUAAAGGCCUACCAAGGCGACGAUCCAUAGCUGGUCUGAGAGGAUGAUCAGCCACACUGGGACUGAGACACGGCCCAGAUCCCUCGGGGAGGAAGCGGGGGGGAAUAUUGAAAAAGGGGGGAAGGCCGAACCAGGCAUGGCCGGGUGAUGGAGGAGGGCGUGAGGGUUGAAAAGUCUUUUUACCAGAGAUGAAAAGGACGGUAGCGGAAAAAAAAGCCCCGGCUAACCCCGGG
This 433-nucleotide ribosomal RNA is filed under the name uncultured bacterium. RNAcentral describes it as "partial 16S ribosomal RNA". It matches the Rfam family "Bacterial small subunit ribosomal RNA", at positions 29 to 507 of the family's 1533-position model. The record is from RNAcentral.